Molecule: ribosomal RNA, 440 nt
Filed under: uncultured bacterium
Lineage: Bacteria
Description: bacterial SSU rRNA
Rfam family: Bacterial small subunit ribosomal RNA
Source: RNAcentral
AACGCGAAGAACCUUACCCAGGCUUGACAUGCAGAAGACAACACCAGAGAUGGUGUGUUCCUUCGGGACUUCUGCACAGGUGCUGCAUGGCUGUCGUCAGCUCGUGCCGUGAGGUGUUGGGUUAAGUCCCGCAACGAGCGCAACCCUUAUCGUUAGUUGCCAACAUUUCGGAUGGGAACUCUAACGAGACUGCCUGGGUUAACCAGGAGGAAGGUGAGGAUGACGUCAAGUCCGCAUGGCCCUUAUGUCUGGGGCUACACACGUGCUACAAUGGCCGGUACAGAAGGCAGCGAAUCCGCAAGGUAGAGCAAAUCCAGAAAGCCGGUCCCAGUUCGGAUUGUAGUCUGCAACUCGACUACAUGAAGUUGGAAUUGCUAGUAAUGGCGUAUCAGCAACAACGCCGUGAAUACGUUCCCGGGCCUUGUACACACCGGUAUCUC